CCACAACGAAAACGUUAAGUUAAUUUUAGUAAAACAAUGUACAUGGUUCGCUAAUUCAUUUUAGCAUAUGUGCUGUGAACUACAUGCCAUUUAGCUUGGUAUGUAAAUAGAAAAUCUAAUGUAAAAUAAUCAGCAAAGGUGCUGUAAAACCAUCAAAAUAUGUUUUAUUCAGUAUAUUGCAUAGUGGUUAAAUUGAUUGUGUUGUAAUGCUUUUUUGAGCAUCUUGAUGAUUCUCUUAUUGACCUUCCAAGUCUUACACUACCUAAUGUAUAUAUAAUACUAGCGUUCAAAGCAAAAAGUCUCAGAAUAGAUUAAUAAAACAGGAAAUCCCAUUCUCCAACUUCUUGGUAUCCAACCGAUGUUCUACGUUGAUGGACGCUGACCUAGUCGAAACGAAAGAAUGCAAUUAGCUGCAAUCCUAAAAUACUCUAGUCUGCUAAAUUCCGCAAUUCUACCCUAAUCAAAAGUUUGCUUUCCGACAAUUGAUAUACAAUACAACUUCAGAGACGUUCACUUAGUUGAAAGAACUAGUUCAAAUAUCUUCUACCAUGAAAGUACUGCCUCCAUCUGUUAGGAAGGCAUUUAUCAAUAACAACAGAAUACUCUUUGAAACAAAAAAACUCAAUGAAUACUAACUAAUUAAGAAUGAAAACAAUCAUUAAUAAUUUUCACCUUCUGUGAAGAUAUUAUUACUAGCACUAUUUAAGUAUUGCCAGUAUGUUUAUAAAUAUGGGGUUUAAAGAUGUCGCUAUAAUGUAUUUCGAUUUCCAUUAAUAUUCCUUAUCCGCAUUGCCGUGUCACGGUAAACAAAAAAAUUAUUGCUUUUUUCUAUUUACAUGAUAAUAAGCAACACUAAACGGAUUCAGAACCAUACCCUCGUUUGUGAGGAA
This is a non-coding RNA of Schizosaccharomyces pombe (fission yeast), 890 nucleotides long. The record is from the annotation of a GenBank genome assembly. NCBI's taxonomy places the organism in Eukaryota, Fungi, Ascomycota, Schizosaccharomycetes, Schizosaccharomycetales, Schizosaccharomycetaceae.